This 811-nucleotide small RNA is filed under the name Pongo abelii (Sumatran orangutan). RNAcentral's name for it is "processed transcript". The record is from RNAcentral. Lineage: Eukaryota; Metazoa; Chordata; Mammalia; Primates; Hominidae.
UGAGCGUCCUGAGCGCCUGACCGCAGCCCUGGACCGCCUGCGGCAGCGCGGCCUGGAACAGAGGUGUCUGCUGUUGUCAGCCCGCGAGGCCUCGGAAGAGGAGCUGGGCCUGGUGCACAGAGUACCUUUCACUGUGCGCGGCUGGCCGCAGGGGCUGGACUGCAGCUGGUGGACGCUGUGCUCACGGGAGCUGUGCAAAAUGGGCUUGCCCUGGUGAGGCCCCCAGGGCACCACAGCCAGAGGGCGGCUGCCAACGGGUUCUGUGUGUUCAACAACGUGGCCAUAGCAGCUGCACAUGCCAAGCAGAAACACGGGCUACACAGGAUCCUCGUCGUGGACUGGGAUGUGCAUCAUGGCCAGGGGAUCCAGUAUCUCUUUGAGGAUGACCCCAGCAUCCUUUACUUCUCCUGGCACCGCUAUGAGCAUGGGCGCUUCUGGCCUUUCCUGCGAGAGUCAGAUGCCGACGCAGUGGGGCGGGGACAGGGCCUCGGCUUCACUGUCAACCUGCCCUGGAACCAGUUCAGGAUGUAGCCUGGGAUGUCCUGCCAGGUCGGGAUGGGAAACGCUGACUACGUGGCUGCCUUCCUGCACCUGCUGCUCCCACUGGCCUUUGAGUUUGACCCUGAGCUGGUGCUGGUCUCGGCAGGAUUUGACUCAGCCAUCGGGGACCCUGAGGUGAGGGCCUUGCCUGGCCAGGGAGGGCUUCUGGGGUCCUGGGGCCCAGGUCCCCCAUCACACAUGGCUCUGGUUCCAGGGGCAAAUGCAGGCCACGCCAGAGUGCUUCGCCCACCUCACACAGCUGCUGCAGGUG